UGGGGAAUAUUGCACAAUGGGGGAAACCCUGAUGCAGCGACGCCGCGUGGACGAUGAAGUAUUUCGGUACGUAAAGUCCUGUCAGCAGGGAAGAAAACGACAGUACCUGACCAAGAAGCCCCGGCUAACUACGUGCCAGCAGCCGCGGUAAUACGUAGGGGGCGAGCGUUAUCCGGAUUCACUGGGCGUAAAGGGAGCGCAGGCGGCACGGCAAGUCCGGUGUGAAAGCCCGGGGCCCAACCCCGGGACUGCACUGGAAACUGCCGGGCUGGAGUGCCGGAGGGGUAAGCGGAAUUCCUGGUGUAGCGGUGAAAUGCGCAGAUAUCAGGAGGAACACCAGUGGCGGAGGCGGCUUACUGGACGGUCACUGACGCUGAGGCUCGAAAGCGUGGGGAGCAAACAGG
Molecule: ribosomal RNA, 404 nt
Filed under: uncultured bacterium
Lineage: Bacteria
Description: bacterial SSU rRNA
Rfam family: Bacterial small subunit ribosomal RNA
Source: RNAcentral